RNAcentral lists this ribosomal RNA (254 nucleotides) under uncultured bacterium. Its description in RNAcentral is "partial 16S ribosomal RNA". It matches the Rfam family "Bacterial small subunit ribosomal RNA", at positions 524 to 776 of the family's 1533-position model. The record is from RNAcentral.
UACGGGGGGAGCAAGCGUUGUUCGGAUUUACUGGGCGUAAAGGGCGCGUAGGCGGCCACCGCAAGUCGAUUGUGAAAUCUCCGGGCUUAACCCGGAAAGGUCAACCGAUACUGCGGGGCUAGAGUGCAGAAGGGGCAACUGGAAUUCUCGGUGUAGCGGUGAAAUGCGCAGAUAUCAGGAGGAACACCGGUGGCGAAGGCGGGUCUCUGGGCAGUAACUGACGCUGAGAAGCGAAAGCGUGGGUAGCGAACAGG